UACGUAGGGGGCAAGCGUUGUCCGGAUUUAUUGGGCGGAAAGAGCGUGUAGGCGGCCAGGUAGGUCAGCUGUGAAAACUCGAGGCUCAACCUCGAGAUGUCGGCUGAAACCAUCUGGCUAGAGUCCGGAAGAGGAGAAUGGAAUUCCCGGUGUAGCGGUGAAAUGCGCAGAUAUCGGGAAGAACACCCGUGGCGAAGGCGGUUCUCUGGGACGGUACUGACGCUGAGACGCGAAAGCGUGGGGAGCGAACAGG
This 253-nucleotide ribosomal RNA is filed under the name uncultured bacterium. Its description in RNAcentral is "partial 16S ribosomal RNA". It matches the Rfam family "Bacterial small subunit ribosomal RNA", at positions 524 to 776 of the family's 1533-position model. The record is from RNAcentral.